CAUAACACACAGCUGUCUGUCUGGGUCGCUACCAUAUUUAAUCAUUUCUGCCCACCGAAUUCAUAUUCGUUAUACACUAUAAAAAAUGACCCACUGGCUUAGUAAAUAUUGCAAAAGAAAAUCAAUGAUUUUUACUAAAAGUAAUAGGUUUCUGGUUUUACUUACAUUGUUGAAUAUAGUCCUUAAUUUAGGUGUUGAAAAAGACUGGCAUUUGCAAACAAAAUCCAAGAUCUAGUUAUGAACGUCAGUUGUGCUUGGAACAUUUCAACAGACGUCGUCUUGAUCUUUCUCCUCUGGAAAGACCAUGUGGCAGGUAUAAAGGUGUUCAGACGUUCCUGAGUACUGGACAGACCAUAUUUUCCAGAAUACAUUGACAAGGUAAACGCCAAGGAGUGUGGAGAUGCAUCGCAGAUCUACCUGUCUGUCUCUCUCUUCUUCACCUGUCUCAAGACCUCCACGCUGGUUUUCCGAUGACAGACAGACAGCUACCUAGCCUAAACCCCCCCUCUGAAUCGGUAUCUCCCUGGAAUGUUCCAGAAUGCCUGAACUUAUCAUGCCUGCUGCUGUUUGUGUCAUCUUUAUCAAUCAAUAUGACUAUGAUUUAAGUUAUGAUAUUGAUCAUUUUGGCUGAUGGACUGAGAGGAAUAAGAUGUUGACUGACUCCAUGUUUGAUGACUUUACAAUCACAGAGAGAUGUUGACU
This is a long non-coding RNA of Oncorhynchus nerka (sockeye salmon), 702 nucleotides long. RefSeq lists it as uncharacterized. The transcript has 4 exons. Lineage: Eukaryota; Metazoa; Chordata; Actinopteri; Salmoniformes; Salmonidae. The record is from RefSeq and is a predicted model, not a curated record.